GUAACUACAUUUAGCGUUUACAUGAAAUGUGAAAACCUCAAUAGUCAGGGAUUGCAGUAAAUCGAUAACCUUGAGCACCUCUCCAAGAGUAAUAUGCAAUACGCGUCUCAUAGAAACCAGGGAGAAAAGUGAGGAUUCCGAGUCCAAGGAGACCAUAUGCCUGGGAACUCUCUCCUUCCAUAUGACCAGAUAAGAUGAAGUAGGAUAGUAAGAGAAGCAAACAUCCCAGAAAGAGCAGAAAAAGAGCAAGGGCAAUGGACUUCCAGGGGAUUCUAUCUAACGAUUUUGGUGAAUAAUCAAAUCUAGGGUCAGCUCGCUUGCCAGAAUAUCCAUAAUAGUCGUCAUCAUCAUCCACAGCGAGACGACUGUAAUUAAUAUUCCGCCUAGAAGCCAUACACUAGAAUUCCCAGUCUUUGAAUUGGAAUAGAUGUCUUGAUGAGAAAGAAAGCUCAAAUUCACCUAACAAGGUGACCGGAACACCGACGGAAGCUGACCGGCG
This 499-nucleotide unclassified non-coding RNA is filed under the name Hevea brasiliensis (rubber tree). Lineage: Eukaryota; Viridiplantae; Streptophyta; Magnoliopsida; Malpighiales; Euphorbiaceae. The record is from RNAcentral.